Molecule: ribosomal RNA, 341 nt
Filed under: Escherichia coli
Lineage: Bacteria; Pseudomonadati; Pseudomonadota; Gammaproteobacteria; Enterobacterales; Enterobacteriaceae
Description: bacterial SSU rRNA
Rfam family: Bacterial small subunit ribosomal RNA
Source: RNAcentral
AAAUUGAAGAGUUUGAUCAUGGCUCAGAUUGAACGCUGGCGGCAGGCCUAACACAUGCAAGUCGAACGGUAACAGGAAGCAGCUUGCUGCUUUGCUGACGAGUGGCGGACGGGUGAGUAAUGUCUGGGAAACUGCCUGAUGGAGGGGGAUAACUACUGGAAACGGUAGCUAAUACCGCAUAAUGUCGCAAGACCAAAGAGGGGGACCUUCGGGCCUCUUGCCAUCGGAUGUGCCCAGAUGGGAUUAGCUAGUAGGUGGGGUAACGGCUCACCUAGGCGACGAUCCCUAGCUGGUCUGAGAGGAUGACCAGCCACACUGGAACUGAGACACGGUCCAGACUC